Non-coding RNA from Solanum tuberosum (potato), 107 nucleotides. Lineage: Eukaryota; Viridiplantae; Streptophyta; Magnoliopsida; Solanales; Solanaceae. The record is from Rfam.
UGAUGAUGAUGAGGGCAGCUAUUCAACAUUGAUUUAAACCUGUCCCAAGCUUGGUACAAGUUUUCUCCCACUUUCUGCCUAAAGCUCAAAAUGUCACUCCUCAACCU